GACGAGGGGUCCUAGCGUUGUUCGGAAUCAUUGGGCGUAAAGCGUGUGUAGGCGGCCAUCCAAGUCAGUUGUGAAAUCCCCGGGCUUAACCCGGGAAGUGCUUCUGAUACUGUUUGGCUUGAGUACUGGAGAGGAUAGUAGAAUUCCCGGUGUAGCGGUGAAAUGCGCAGAUAUCGGGAGGAACACCUAUGGCGAAGGCAGCUCGCUGGGACGUUACUGACGCUGAGACGCGAAAGCGUGGGGAGCAAACAGG
This 253-nucleotide ribosomal RNA is filed under the name uncultured bacterium. RNAcentral's name for it is "partial 16S ribosomal RNA". It matches the Rfam family "Bacterial small subunit ribosomal RNA", at positions 524 to 776 of the family's 1533-position model. The record is from RNAcentral.